UGCAAGUCGAGGGGCAGCAUGGUCUUAGCUUGCUAAGGCCGAUGGCGACCGGCGCACGGGUGAGUAACACGUAUCCAACCUGCCCUUCACAGGGGGAUAACCGGGAGAAAUUCCGACUAAUACCGCAUACGUCCUUUGGGGGCAUCCCCUGGGGAUGAAAGAGUUAUCGGUGAAGGAUGGGCAUGCGUGAUAUUAGGUAGUUGGCGGGGCAACGGCCCACCAAGCCCACGAUAUCUAGGGGUUCUGAGAGGAAGGUCCCCACAUUGGUACUGAGACACGGACCAAACUCC
RNAcentral lists this ribosomal RNA (290 nucleotides) under uncultured bacterium. Its description in RNAcentral is "partial 16S ribosomal RNA". It matches the Rfam family "Bacterial small subunit ribosomal RNA", at positions 56 to 339 of the family's 1533-position model. The record is from RNAcentral.